GGGUUGUGAGGUUAAGCGACUAAGCGUACACGGUGGAUGCCCUGGCAGUCAGAGGCGAUGAAGGACGUGCUAAUCUGCGAUAAGCGUCGGUAAGGUGAUAUGAACCGUUAUAACCGGCGAUUUCCGAAUGGGGAAACCCAGUGUGUUUCGACACACUAUCAUUAACUGAAUCCAUAGGUUAAUGAGGCGAACCGGGGGAACUGAAACAUCUAAGUACCCCGAGGAAAAGAAAUCAACCGAGAUUCCCCCAGUAGCGGCGAGCGAACGGGGAGCAGCCCAGAGCCUGAAUCAGUAUGUGUGUUAGUGGAAGCGUCUGGAAAGGCGCGCGAUACAGGGUGACAGCCCCGUACACAAAAAUGCACAUAUUGUGAGCUCGAUGAGUAGGGCGGGACACGUGGUAUCCUGUCUGAAUAUGGGGGGACCAUCCUCCAAGGCUAAAUACUCCUGACUGACCGAUAGUGAACCAGUACCGUGGGAAGGCCCGAAAAGAGAACCCCUAAGCGAGGGGUGAAAAGAACCACAGAAACCGUGUACGUACAAGCAGUGGGAGCACGCUUAGGCGUGUGACUGCGUACCUUUUGUAUAAUGGGUCAGCGACUUAUAUUCUGUAGCAAGGUUAACCGAAUAGGGGAGCCGAAGGGAAACCGAGUCUUAACUGGGCGUUAAGUUGCAGGGUAUAGACCCGAAACCCGGUGAUCUAGCCAUGGGCAGGUUGAAGGUUGGGUAACACUAACUGGAGGACCGAACCGACUAAUGUUGAAAAAUUAGCGGAUGACUUGUGGCUGGGGGUGAAAGGCCAAUCAAACCGGGAGAUAGCUGGUUCUCCCCGAAAGCUAUUUAGGUAGCGCCUCGUGAAUUCAUCUCCGGGGGUAGAGCACUGUUUCGGCAAGGGGGUCAUCCCGACUUACCAACCCGAUGCAAACUGCGAAUACCGGAGAAUGUUAUCACGGGAGACACACGGCGGGUGCUAACGUCCGUCGUGAAGAGGGAAACAACCCAGACCGCCAGCUAAGGUCCCAAAGUCAUGGUUAAGUGGGAAACGAUGUGGGAAGGCCCAGACAGCCAGGAUGUUGGCUUAGAAGCAGCCAUCAUUUAAAGAAAGCGUAAUAGCUCACUGGUCGAGUCGGCCUGCGCGGAAGAUGUAACGGGGCUAAACCAUGCACCGAAGCUGCGGCAGCGACACUUAUGUGUUGUUGGGUAGGGGAGCGUUCUGUAAGCCUGUGAAGGUGUGCUGUGAGGCAUGCUGGAGGUAUCAGAAGUGCGAAUGCUGACAUAAGUAACGAUAAAGCGGGUGAAAAGCCCGCUCGCCGGAAGACCAAGGGUUCCUGUCCAACGUUAAUCGGGGCAGGGUGAGUCGACCCCUAAGGCGAGGCCGAAAGGCGUAGUCGAUGGGAAACAGGUUAAUAUUCCUGUACUUGGUGUUACUGCGAAGGGGGGACGGAGAAGGCUAUGUUGGCCGGGCGACGGUUGUCCCGGUUUAAGCGUGUAGGCUGGUUUUCCAGGCAAAUCCGGAAAAUCAAGGCUGAGGCGUGAUGACGAGGCACUACGGUGCUGAAGCAACAAAUGCCCUGCUUCCAGGAAAAGCCUCUAAGCAUCAGGUAACAUCAAAUCGUACCCCAAACCGACACAGGUGGUCAGGUAGAGAAUACCAAGGCGCUUGAGAGGCACAGGGUGGAAGAAUUGCGGCGAUAGUUGCCGUAACUUCGGGAGAAGGCACGCUGAUAUGUAGGUGAAGUCCCUCGCGGAUGGAGCUGAAAUCAGUCGAAGAUACCAGAUGGCUGACUGCAACUGUUUAUUAAAAACACAGCACUGUGCAAACACGAAAGUGGACGUAUACGGUGUGACGCCUGCCCGGUGCCGGAAGGUUAAUUGAUGGGGUUAGCCGCAAGGCGAAGCUCUUGAUCGAAGCCCCGGUAAACGGCGGCCGUAACUAUAACGGUCCUAAGGUAGCGAAAUUCCUUGUCGGGUAAGUUCCGACCUGCACGAAUGGCGUAAUGAUGGCCAGGCUGUCUCCACCCGAGACUCAGUGAAAUUGAACUCGCUGUGAAGAUGCAGUGUACCCGCGGCAAGACGGAAAGACCCCGUGAACCUUUACUAUAGCUUGACACUGAACAUUGAGCCUUGAUGUGUAGGAUAGGUGGGAGGCUUUGAAGUGUGGACGCCAGUCUGCAUGGAGCCGACCUUGAAAUACCACCCUUUAAUGUUUGAUGUUCUAACGUUGACCCGUAAUCCGGGUUGCGGACAGUGUCUGGUGGGUAGUUUGACUGGGGCGGUCUCCUCCUAAAGAGUAACGGAGGAGCACGAAGGUUGGCUAAUCCUGGUCGGACAUCAGGAGGUUAGUGCAAUGGCACUUAAGCCAAAGCGACGCUGCGAGCGGCGGCGCGGCAGGUACUGGCAGGUCAUAGUGAUCCGGUGGUUCUGAAUGGAAGGGCCAUCGCUCAACGGAUAAAAGGUACUCCGGGGAUAACAGGCUGAUACCGCCCAAGAGUUCAUAUCGACGGCGGUGUUUGGCACCUCGAUGUCGGCUCAUCACAUCCUGGGGCUGAAGUAGGUCCCAAGGGUAUGGCUGUUCGCCAUUUAAAGUGGUACGCGAGCUGGGUUUAGAACGUCGUGAGACAGUUCGGUCCCUAUCUGCCGUGGGCGCUGGAGAACUGAGGGGGGCUGCUCCUAGUACGAGAGGACCGGAGUGGACGCAUCACUGGUGUUCGGGUUGUCAUGCCAAUGGCACUGCCCGGUAGCUAAAUGCGGAAGAGAUAAGUGCUGAAAGCAUCUAAGCACGAAACUUGCCCCGAGAUGAGUUCUCCCUGACUCCUUGAGAGUCCUGAAGGAACGUUGAAGACGACGACGUUGAUAGGCCGGGUGUGUAAGCGCAGCGAUGCGUUGAGCUAACCGGUACUAAUGAACCGUGAGGCUUAACCUUACAACGCCGAAGGUGUUU
This 2938-nucleotide ribosomal RNA is filed under the name Escherichia coli. RNAcentral's name for it is "23S ribosomal RNA". It matches the Rfam family "Bacterial large subunit ribosomal RNA". The record is from RNAcentral. Lineage: Bacteria; Pseudomonadati; Pseudomonadota; Gammaproteobacteria; Enterobacterales; Enterobacteriaceae.